This 77-nucleotide transfer RNA is filed under the name Bdellovibrionales bacterium. RNAcentral's name for it is "tRNA-Arg". It matches the Rfam family "tRNA". Rfam says of the family: Transfer RNA (tRNA) molecules are approximately 80 nucleotides in length. The record is from RNAcentral. Lineage: Bacteria; Pseudomonadati; Bdellovibrionota; Bdellovibrionia; Bdellovibrionales.
GCCCUCGUAGCUCAGUAGGAUAGAGCACAGGUUUCCUAAACCUGGGGUCACAUGUUCGAAUCAUGUCGGGGGCGCCA